CCUACGGGAUGCAGCAGUGGGGAAUAUUGCACAAUGGGCGCAAGCCUGAUGCAGCCAUGCCGCGUGUGUGAAGAAGGCCUUCGGGUUGUAAAGCACUUUCAGCGGGGAGGAAGGCGUUAAGGUUAAUAACCUUGGCGAUUGACGUUACCCGCAGAAGAAGCACCGGCUAACUCCGUGCCAGCAGCCGCGGUAAUACGGAGGGUGCAAGCGUUAAUCGGAAUUACUGGGCGUAAAGCGCACGCAGGCGGUCUGUCAAGUCGGAUGUGAAAUCCCCGGGCUCAACCUGGGAACUGCAUUCGAAACUGGCAGGCUAGAGUCUUGUAGAGGGGGGUAGAAUUCCAGGUGUAGCGGUGAAGUGCGUAGAGAUCUGGCGGAAUACCGGUGGCGAAGGCGGCCCCCUGGACAAAGACUGACGCUCAGGUGCGAAAGCGUGGGGAGCAAACAGGAUGAGAUACCCUGGUAGUC
RNAcentral lists this ribosomal RNA (465 nucleotides) under uncultured Klebsiella sp. RNAcentral describes it as "bacterial SSU rRNA". It matches the Rfam family "Bacterial small subunit ribosomal RNA", at positions 338 to 795 of the family's 1533-position model. Lineage: Bacteria; Pseudomonadati; Pseudomonadota; Gammaproteobacteria; Enterobacterales; Enterobacteriaceae. The record is from RNAcentral.